Molecule: ribosomal RNA, 440 nt
Filed under: uncultured Rhodoferax sp.
Lineage: Bacteria; Pseudomonadati; Pseudomonadota; Betaproteobacteria; Burkholderiales; Comamonadaceae
Description: bacterial SSU rRNA
Rfam family: Bacterial small subunit ribosomal RNA
Source: RNAcentral
GGAAUUUUGGACAAUGGGCGCAAGCCUGAUCCAGCAAUGCCGCGUGCAGGAUGAAGGCCUUCGGGUUGUAAACUGCUUUUGUACGGAACGAAACGGUCUGCCCUAAUACGGUGGGCUAAUGACGGUACCGUAAGAAUAAGCACCGGCUAACUACGUGCCAGCAGCCGCGGUAAUACGUAGGGUGCGAGCGUUAAUCGGAAUUACUGGGCGUAAAGCGUGCGCAGGCGGUUAUAUAAGACAGAUGUGAAAUCCCCGGGCUCAACCUGGGAACUGCAUUUGUGACUGUAUAGCUAGAGUACGGUAGAGGGGGAUGGAAUUCCGCGUGUAGCAGUGAAAUGCGUAGAUAUGCGGAGGAACACCGAUGGCGAAGGCAAUCCCCUGGACCUGUACUGACGCUCAUGCACGAAAGCGUGGGGAGCAAACAGGAUUAGAUACCCGAG